AUUGAACGCUGGCGGCGUGCCUAACACAUGCAAGUCGAGCGGUAACAGGUGUAGCAAUACAUGCUGACGAGCGGCGGACGGGUGAGUAACGCCUGGGAAUCUGCCUAUUAGUGGGGGACAACCCGGGGAAACUCGGGCUAAUACCGCAUACGCUCUACGGAGGAAAGCCGGGGACCGCAAGGCCUGGCGUUAAUAGAUGAGCCCAAGUCGGAUUAGCUAGUUGGUAGGGUAAUGGCCACCAAGGCGACGAUCCGUAACUGGUCUGAGAGGACGACCAGUCACACCGGAACUGAGACACGGUCCGGACUCCUACGGGAGGCAGCAGUGGGAAUCUUGCGCAAUGGGCGAAAGCCUGACGCAGCGACGCCGCGUGAGGGAUGACGGCCU
Molecule: ribosomal RNA, 387 nt
Filed under: uncultured bacterium
Lineage: Bacteria
Description: bacterial SSU rRNA
Rfam family: Bacterial small subunit ribosomal RNA
Source: RNAcentral